Molecule: ribosomal RNA, 511 nt
Filed under: uncultured bacterium
Lineage: Bacteria
Description: bacterial SSU rRNA
Rfam family: Bacterial small subunit ribosomal RNA
Source: RNAcentral
GAUUAUGGCUCAGGAUGAACGCUAGCGACAGGCUUAACACAUGCAAGUCGAGGGGCAGCAUAGAAGUAGCAAUACUUGGUGGCGACCGGCGCACGGGUGAGUAACGCGUAUGCAACCUACCUAUCAGAGGGGAAUAACCCGGCGAAAGUCGGACUAAUACCGCAUAAAACAGGGGCACCGCAUGGUGAUAUUUGUUAAAGAAAUUCGCUGAUAGAUGGGCAUGCGUUCCAUUAGGUAGUUGGUGAGGUAACGGCUCACCAAGCCGACGAUGGAUAGGGGAACUGAGAGGUUGGUCCCCCACACUGGUACUGAGACACGGACCAGACUCCUACGGGAGGCAGCAGUGAGGAAUAUUGGUCAAUGGGCGGGAGCCUGAACCAGCCAAGUCGCGUGAAAGGAAGAAGGAUCUAUGGUUCGUAAACUUCUUUUGCAGGGGAAUAAAGUGCAGGACGUGUCCUGUUUUGUAUGUACCCUGAGAAUAAGGAUCGGCUAACUCCGUGCCAGCAGCCGC